Molecule: non-coding RNA, 640 nt
Organism: Camellia sinensis
Lineage: Eukaryota; Viridiplantae; Streptophyta; Magnoliopsida; Ericales; Theaceae
Source: RefSeq, a predicted model, not a curated record
AAAUAUGAUAGAACUUGUUGUUUGAUGUAUAGUUGGUGUUGUCUUAGAAGUAAAGGCUUUCUACUACUGGCUUCUUCAUGCAUGGAUCUCACACACUUCUUAAUAAUAAUGUUCUUUUGUUUGUGAGUUUCAUUUGUAGAGUAGUUAAACUAUUGAUAGCCCAAUGAGCUGUUAUAUUAGUAUGGCCCCUUUAAUCUUUUGUAUGGUUGUAGGAGAUGAUGCUAACUGUGGCAACCAAGAAGCUGAAACAAGGGCCUACCUUCAGAAGUUUAGAAAGCUGCUUUUAUUUUCUGAGCAACAAUUACUUGGGCUUGAGUUCACAUUCUAUAGUUUCAAAAGCUGUUGCAAAGGCAGCCCUAGCACAUGGAAUGGGCCCAAGGGGUUCUGUUUUAAUCUGUGGGUAUACAAGUUUCCAUGGACUGCUUGAGUCAUGCCUGGCAGACUUGAAGAAGAAAGAGGUAUUGACUUUGUUCUAUGUAUUGCAAUCAAUUGUUCAUUGGGAGUUAGGAUCAUUUGUACAUUUUAUCAAUUUAUUUUUACAUUUACUUACUGAAAAGAUUAAUUUAUUCUUCUCCGUUGUGUUAACACUUGCUGGUAUGGAAUAAUGAAACAUUACAAUAGAGGGACUGCAAUGUGUAAA